AGCCGAGCGGUAUUUGUCCUUCGGGACGGAGAGAGCGGCGUACGGGUGCGGAACACGUGUGCAACCUGCCUUUAUCUGGGGGAUAGCCUUUCGAAAGGAAGAUUAAUACCCCAUAACAUAUGAUACGGCAUCGUAUUAUAUUGAAAACUCCGGUGGAUAGAGAUGGGCACGCGCAAGAUUAGAUAGUUGGUGAGGUAACGGCUCACCAAGUCAGUGAUCUUUAGGGGGCCUGAGAGGGUGAUCCCCCACACUGGUACUGAGACACGGACCAGACUCCUACGGGAGGCAGCAGUGAGGAAUAUUGGACAAUGGGUGAGAGCCUGAUCCAGCCAUCCCGCGUGAAGGACUAAGGCCCUAUGGGUUGUAAACUUCUUUUAUACUGGGAUAAACCUACUUACGUGUAAGUAGCUGAAGGUACAGUAUGAAUAAGCACCGGCUAACUCCGUGCCAGCAGCCGCGGUAAUACGGAGGGUGCAAGCGUUAUCCGGAUUUAUUGGGUUUAAAGGGUCCGUAGGCGGAUCCGUAAGUCAGUGGUGAAAUCUCAUAGCUUAACUAUGAAACUGCCAUUGAUACUGCGGGUCUUGAGUGAGAUUGAGGUAGCUGGAAUAAGUAGUGUAGCGGUGAAAUGCAUAGAUAUUACUUAGAACACCAAUUGCGAAGGCAGGUUACCAAGUCUUAACUGACGCUGAGGGACGAAAGCGU
Molecule: ribosomal RNA, 702 nt
Filed under: Epilithonimonas ginsengisoli
Lineage: Bacteria; Pseudomonadati; Bacteroidota; Flavobacteriia; Flavobacteriales; Weeksellaceae
Description: bacterial SSU rRNA
Rfam family: Bacterial small subunit ribosomal RNA
Source: RNAcentral